This 497-nucleotide ribosomal RNA is filed under the name uncultured bacterium. Its description in RNAcentral is "partial 16S ribosomal RNA". It matches the Rfam family "Bacterial small subunit ribosomal RNA", at positions 28 to 507 of the family's 1533-position model. The record is from RNAcentral.
GAUGAACGCUGGCGGCGUGCCUAAUACAUGCAAGUCGAGCGAACAGAUAAGGAGCUUGCUCCUUUGACGUUAGCGGCGGACGGGUGAGUAACACGUGGGUAACCUACCUAUAGGACUGGAAUAACUCCGGGAAACCGGGGCUAAUGCCGGAUAACAUUUAGAACCGCAUGGUUCUAAAGUGAAAGAUGGUUUUGCUAUCACUUAUAGAUGGACCCGCGCCGUAUUAGCUAGUUGGUAAGGUAACGGCUUACCAAGGCAACGAUACGUAGCCGACCUGAGAGGGUGAUCGGCCACACUGGAACUGAGACACGGUCCAGACUCCUACGGGAGGCAGCAGUAGGGAAUCUUCCGCAAUGGGCGAAAGCCUGACGGAGCAACGCCGCGUGAGUGAUGAAGGUCUUCGGAUCGUAAAACCCUGUUAUUAGGGAAGAACAAAUGUGUAAGUAACUGUGCACGUCUUGACGGUACCUAAUCAGAAAGCCACGGCUAACUACGUG